UCUUCCUGUGUAAAAGGAGCUGUUCUCACAGCCCCUCUGCAGUUGCUGGGGUCCGGGGUGGGAUUCCCUGCCUAGAUGACGGUGGUGGCCCUUUACUCCAGCUCUCCCCGGUCCUCGCAGACUCAAGAUGAAAAGCGCCUAGAGAGGCCAUUCUGUCCAUCCCUGUGGCUCCAGGACGGACCACAACUGAGAAGACCUGCCAGUCCUGUGUGUUCACUCAUUCCUUCAAAAACCUUUCACUGAGCGCGAGCUCUGUGCAAAGUACCAGGAGCUUUACCUCAUGCCAGCACCUUAAAUCCCCACUAGGACCUUUGGAGAUGGACACUAUUACUCUACGGCGACUUGUCCAAAGAUCCAUUUCAAUCCAGUGCUCCUCUGUGACUCCUCCUGACUCACCCAAGUGGGACUGAUCUCAGUCAGCUUUGGGGCCACACCACACUUCCCAUAGUGUUACUAAGUUCCAACCUAGUGCCUGGUACUCAACAAAUGUUUGGCGAAUGAAAGAUCACUUGGCCAGUAAAAUCGCCAGAGGCCCCGUGUGGAAUGCAGCCUCUGAGAAAAGCACUUCUACCCAAAACCCACCGAAGCAUACCCAGCCCUGAGAGGGGCUUCAAGGAAUGCAAACAACCCGCCUGCUUCUGCAGCAAAAAGCAGAGCUAAUUACAUCAUGAACACAUAGGAGGGGAUGCAUGGGCUUUGACGAUUGUUUUUAAGGAAGAGAAAUAGGUUCUACUUCUGUGGCAGGCUGAUCAGUCGCUUACCUCCAAUCAGAGUGAAUAGCUUGAAGCAUUGUGAUGAUGCUGGUGGUGGCUAAAACUGCAAUGAGCCCAUCUGGUCAUCCAUCCCGUCAUUGCCCACCUGUCUGCACAGGAAAUUUCUUGCCCUAUGGUUACUCAGUAAAGCAAAGUCUCUUCCUGUCAGCACUGAUGAAGGUAGACGUGCUCUGCACUUUAUGGUAAUAAGAUGACAGUUCUCUUCAAAAACAUUAUGAUUCAGACUGUCCUCUUUUCACCAGCACUCCCCCUCACCCACCCAGAGGAGGCUGAAAUAAAUUAAACUGUUAUUAUUCAUUCUUUAGCCAAUUUAAUAUUUAAUAAAAACCCAUUUGUGCCAGCCACUGGAUAGAUGCUGGGAUGACAAAGGUGACUAAGAAGGUCCCUACCCUUAGGAUAUCCGAGUCAAGCUAACAAAUAAUAACAAUGCCAUGUGAUUAGGGCAAUGCCAGAGGGAAGUAGGAAGUGAGGCCCUGAGGAAGGCAGGGCUGACAGCUUCUUACCUCCCCAGACUCCUC
Molecule: long non-coding RNA, 1291 nt
Organism: Manis pentadactyla (Chinese pangolin)
Lineage: Eukaryota; Metazoa; Chordata; Mammalia; Pholidota; Manidae
Exons: 3
Source: RefSeq, a predicted model, not a curated record